GGUACUUAGUUGUCAGCAGGCAUAAAACCAUAACCAGUAAAAGAUGAAGAAUAAUGAUAUAAUAGCUCCAGUUGUCUUCACUCCUAUACAACCUAAUGAUUAUCACUAGUGUUGGGAAAUGAAUUUUCAGAAUUUAUGAUUCUCCAGGAAAAGAGCAGGUGAGUCAGAGUAAACAAAUCAGCCUGGAGUGACUAUCGAGAAGCUGUGCUGCUGCAUCAUCCCAUCCUUGCAGGAAACUGGUGGGCUGUCAGUGUGGGUUUUCAGAUGCACCAAGGAAAGUUUUAAAAUCAUCUAUAUGUACAAUUGUUUCUGUGAUAUCUCCUUCAUUCCAUGUAAAUCAGUCUGUUUAGUCACAGUAAACUACUGAUUUUUAACAGGCUAGAGCAUUCAGCAACAGUCCAGGAUCUCUGGGUUUUUCACACUCUGGAUGGACUUCCAGGGUGACUGGAGUUCAAGUUCUUUGCAUCUUAGAGACACCUCCUCUGCGAGCAGCUCUGUUUUCAAUGUACAGUUCAAAUGUAUGCCUGGAGCAAAUAAACACACAUCUAAAAAAGCUGGGAGCCUUGCAGUAGUAAUCCAAGCUCUUUGUGCCCUGGUGGCCCUGCCUGUUCUCAGGCACCCCAAAUGUGGUCCGAGGCCAGGCAAGUGAAGAGCAGCAUCUCUCAGGAGUCUAGGUGGGCUCUGCAGCUGAGCCACUGCUUCAUGUGGAGUUGUGGCCACUGGAAAUUCAGAGAACCAAGCCUUUUCUGAGUGUGUGUUUUAAAUGUGUGGAGAGGAAAAAGCUACCCAGGUGACCUACAGAGGCAAAUUUUGGAGACUAAAGGGAGCUUUGCUAUUGCCUUGAAAGGGAGCGGGAUGGAUUUCUGAGCACAGCAUUUCAACUAAGCUGAGCUGGUUGGGGUUCUCAAUAAACUGCUGAUGCAAAAUGGGACCUCUGCUCUUCCAGGCCUUCUCUGUGCCAAGGACUGACCCAGCAGCAACUUUCAAUAUUCAUGGAUGCAAAAAAUUCUGCAAAUGAUAACGUGCAGCUGAGAGGCUGUGAGCCUUGAAUGAGACAAUUCUGCAGCAGAGCACUGGUUUGUCAGGAAUCCUCUCUGCUCCACCUGGGAUGCCGUGGUCUGUCAAAGCACAGCAGCAGUGCAGGGAAAUGAUCUUGGAGCAGUGAAUGAAACACAGUAUGUGCUAAUAUUGAUAUUGGUGAUGAUAUGCCAAUGUGUGGCAGGACAGAACAGUUUCAGAUGGACAUGCAGAACAGGGUCCAAAGAACACAGGAGAUUCCAACUAUGAGAAAUCUGAUAGGCAGUCCAUUUUCAUCAGUGACUUGAGAUAAGUCCCUUUGCUUUUCUAAUUGUCAACGCACAGUUAUUCUUGCAGUUGUGAGUGAGGAUCCCCAACUGCUACUUGGUUCUAAAUUUCUCACCUCUUUCUGCUCUGCUUCACAGAAAACCUGCAUAAUUCUUUGUCUUUGUACUUCUGCAGCUUGCACAAAAUUCACUUCAUUCUUGUUAGGUGAAACUGUUGAGGUCAGAACUCAGAAUACCUCCCAGGAAACAGAAGGCAAGAGAAAGGAGGGUGAUGCUCUCCUUAACUCGAGGUCUGAUUUGGAAUUCCUGGGUUGAAUUUUAGCUCCUUUUUCAGGAGAAAUUGAAAUAUGUUAUUGCAGGGAAAUGCAGAGAACAAGUUGUCAGGGGGCUUACUCGUGUGGGCCAGUCCUGUGUUUGCAUAGUUCAGGAUUGCAGGAAGGGAUCCAGCUGAGAGCACAGGCAAACCAGUGCAUUCCAAAACCACUGAGAGACAGGCUCUGCUUCUCUGCAUGUCCUCUCUGCAAGGAAGUAGCUGCAGUCUCCUGCUGCAUGCUGGUGGGUACUGGUGCUAUACAGACCAAAAAAACUGCAGGCAGCUGGAAAAAAAUCACUUUCUUUUUAAUGCAAAAUUUUUUUGUUAUUAUCAAUUAUGAGUGUUCUGGUUUGCAGGAAAGGGGAAGAAAUUGAAAUGGCUUUACACAUCUUUUGGCUGUCAUUCUUAGCUUGUUUUCUAAGGAAUGGUGUUUGUCUGUCAAACUUCUCUAAUUACUUUUGAACACAAGGAAUGUUUAUACAGCUGAGUUCAGUGGUGGUAGAGAUCCCAUCCCACAGUGGCCUUGUGUGGUUGCUUUGAAAUCAAUAGGGACACUUUGGGGUGUCCUGGCUGACGUGCAUGGUGUGAACCUCAGAGCAUCAUGACUGUGUAGCACUGGAGCAGCCCAGGAAGGUUUUGAGGAGACAAUGUCAGGAAGCAGGGCAUGGAUGGAGAGUUUGGUCACUUAGGAGUGAGUCACAAGGCAGAAAGUAUUGGUUUUCUGCUCAGAGUACUUGAGCCUUUCCUGAGGAGUUUUCAGACUGUUAGAGACUCAGUGCUUGUCUAAUUGUUCUCCCAGAAUCAAUAGUUAAACUUGCAUUGAUUUCUGCUGACUUCUCAUGCUUGGGAUUCCAGCUGUACCAUGGAACUUGAGAUCUCAGUGUUUCACAGAGGCUUACCUGCCACAGCUGCCUGACACCUCCUGAAAUACUGAGGACAGCUUCCCAGAAAGUGUGCAGGUUGGAAACACCACUCCAGGUGCCCUUGCAGCCUUUGUAGGUGCUACCUGCCAGGCUGCUGUUUGUCCACCCAUUUUACAGAGAUAGCCUGUGCCUGGUGGGCUCAUUCCCACAUAUUCCCAGGUCUGCAUCUCAGAAUGGCCACUUGCUGCUAUCUCCUCAUUCUGACUAUUCCAAGGAAUUUUUACUGAAAAUUUUUAUUUUAGCUGAAUUUUGAAUAAGAUUAUUUUCCAAAGACAAUUUUCUAUUUUAUUCCUUUUUAUGUAUCUGAUGUCUAGGUGCUGCUAUGUAUAUUUUCUUUUUUACUUGCAGUAUUUUCUAAAUUCACGUCUUCUUCAGCUCUUGACAACAAGAUCUACUGCCUAACACAUGUUAGUGCCUAUAUUUCUAUAUUUAAUUGCAAGAGAUUACUCUCAAAUGUAUUUCUGAAACAGGUAUAAAGAACAAUGUUUACUGGUAAGUUUCCCAUAACUUCUUUUCAUUGAGAAAAGAGUAAAAAAGAGUAAUGAUAUUGCACUUCUGCUGACUACUCUGCCUGAUUCACAGGGUAUUUGCUCUUAACAUGUUGUAGGAGUUAAAAAAAAUGUGUCAAACUUUUUUUGGCACCCAGCUCCAGUAGAUCCUGUUAGAAGAAACAUAUGGCCUCACACUAACAGUGUUAAAGCACUGCUGAAGUAUUGCAUGCACGACAUUGACAAAUUUCCUCUAGGCUUUUUGUUUUCUGUGCUAUUAAGCAUUCAAAGUCCACUAUUUCAUUACCACUGAUGAUACAGAGAGCCUUAUUGACAUUCUAUCCAUCUGUUCAUAACAUGCAUUAUUAAAUGUGAAGCAACUAGUAGGUAAGAGUGCACUUGCCAGCUGUACAAUGAAUUCUCAGUAGUUUGGUGCCCUCUAUAAAUUUUCUAGUAUUCUGCCAGUUUCUCAACAUAAUUUGCAAUGGGGAUAUUUUUUAAUGUUUUACAUUGUACAGAGAAAAGUUGCUUCAAAAGAAUAUUUUUUUUAUCCCUAAUGUGAAAUAUUUAGAUAUAGUUUCAAAAAGCCCAAGAGUCUUUUAAUAUACAAAUAUUGUUGCUAAUAUCAGAUCUCACUAACCACAGUUUCUGUCUUUUUCUUUUUUUGGUUUUUUCCCUAGGAGCAAAUCUGCUGCAUUACCUAUGAACAGGACAAUGGGGACCCAAUGAGUCACCCUAUUCAUAUAUUUUUGGAACCCAGAGGAAUUGGUUUUACUAUUUACAGAUUAUAACAGUUGAGGAAGAGCCUGAGGCUGGAGCUUGCCGAGAACACCAUGUGGAAAUGAUCUGAACAGGAUUCAGCUAAAUGGUUCCCACUGGCUGCUUUAAAGACCCAAAGCCUGUGACCAUCUGAAAUGCAGGAAUGCAUAGUUUUGGCCAUCCCUUCAACCUCAGCUCCCCUGUAAGGCUGCCUCUCUCCUCACCAGGAAAAUGCAGAUCCUGAAUGCUGAGCACUGGCUUUCCUGUAAACAGUACAUGUUUGAACAUGGAGUAAAACCCCUUGCAAACUCUCUACAUUGAUAUCCUCAGAGAGAUGUGACAUCUUUGGCUGAUCCAGGGGAAGGAGAAACCAGGACAAGAAGACAAGUGCUUGUGUCUGCCACUGAAUGGAUCCUUUCCUUGGUUGUGGAGUUACCCAGCUACAAGACCAACUGCCUAUCUCAAAUACCCAUUCUCAGUAGGCCAAAGAUAAAAGGAUUCGAUACUUUGGAGGAACUUUGCCUCACGUGGUUGUAAAAUCAGCAGAGGUGCUGGAAACACCUCUCAUUUUGUGUGGAGAGGUUCAGUCCUAUACCUGAUGGAGAGGAGAAAGCAUUGACUAAACAUUUUUCCAGUCCUUGAAGCAGUUUUCUUUGAGAGAAUGACAUUUUUCAUGCCAGACAGUUGGCAUCAGCUGUCAAGUUGGGUCAUCAAGUUGGGUGAACUGGACAAGACAGAGAUGGAGACAUGCAAUGCUGUAUGGUGUCAUCAGAACUAAAGAUUAUGAAAUUCUUCUGCACGGAUUUUACCCCUGAAGUGAACAGAACACACCAGGGAUAUCCCAUGGCGAUGAGAGUCCUUGUUCCAGCUCAACUGAUUCAACUGGCCAUGUUGCCUUUUAUCCAGGUUCCUGUUUUCAUCACAUGACAGGAGAUGCAGAAAGCACUAGGAAAACUACACCACCAGAGGGCAGCAUCCACAGUAGAACGUGGGAGGUGGUGCUUAUCACCUGCCAGGGAAAAUGUUGUCUUCUGAGGAGGGUCUGGGAGCCACCGGUAUCCUGGGUGCUUGCUGUGGAAGGAGAUGGCUCUCACUGAGCAUUACAGCCAGCAGCUCCUCACAGUUUGAGCAGAAAUUAAACCACAUGCCAGUGUGUUCCUGAAAUGCUUCUUGUCACUAAAAGCUGAUGAGGAAGGAUGAUUUAAGGCACUGGGGAAACCUUGUCUCACUCCUAGCUGCACUGUGAAUGCUUGGCUUCCAGAAGCUCAUGCUGGUCCCACUGAACAGCAGGGUGAAACACAGUUUGCCAUUAUGUGGAGGAGGCACAGUCCAUGUUCUGCAACUGCUGUGAGAGACCUUCUCCCACGACGGAAGCUCUCCUCCCUCUCAGACACUUGUCCUGGUCCAGCCUGCUCCCAUCUCCAUGAGACUGUUCCUGCUCUUGCCUAGCCCCAGUCCUUGGUGGGGUCUGUCAGCCCUGCAUCUUUCGCCCUUCCAGGCAGGUGGACAGGUCCCAGGGGAUGCAGCUGCAGGGCCAUGACCAGCGCUGCUCACCCUGCUGGGGAAUGACCAGAGAAACUCCUGGACCCUAAAUAUAGCUAUCACAUUGCAAUUCACCAUGAAAAUUUCACCUAAGAGUUAUGUUGUCUUCAUAUGAAAUAGAAUUAAAGUGAAUGAACGAAGACUGCAGUACCCUGAACUGAGGUCCUGGGAUUAACUAAAGAGCAAGAGCUUGUAAAGCCAACAGUUGAGGUUCUUCAGUGUAUAUUAUAUAUUGCCAUCUCAUCAAAUAAACUUAAAAGGAUCUCUGUCAUCUUCUCCUAGUGCUCCCUGGAGAAUAGAUGGUCAAAAAGUGAACUGUUUUUCUGGUUGCAUAUCACAUCCAAUUCUUGAGUCUAUGCACUGCCUACACAACCAUUGCUGUUGCUUCAAACAAGCAGUCCUAAGUGCAGUGAAAAAGUAUUUUUGUCAGUGAAAUGCCGUCUAUGGAAUCAUGGAUAAACCCACAUUUUCCUCAACCAGCUUCUUCUAAGGAAGCCCAGGUGCCCUCCUUGCAGCACAGUAAAGGUUUGGAGCCCUGCUGUCAGCCCAGAUGUGAAAUCUGUCCCUGCAAGGCAGACACGGGCUGGGCACGUUUCUCUGCUCAAUCACAGAGGCUCCAGCUUGGCUCAGCCACCUGCAGCCUGGGCAGGAGGAUUUCUCCUUUUCCCAGGCUUCAGAAGAGAGUCAGAAACCAUCAGGUGGUGUGACAAAGUGCCUUCCAUCAAAUAAUUGCUGAGCCAGUUGAUCAAUUUCAAUCAAGUGGGACAGAAGGAGAGAGCUGUGAGACAUGAAGUUACGAAGAAAACAGGUUUUUCAAUUGUCGAUAAAUGCAGUAAACAACAGUCUGCUUUCUCUCAGAAGAAGUUAUAUGAAGUUGUCAUCCAUUUGACGACCUGCAGUAGUGGAAAUCUGAACUGUAGUUUGGUUUUUUCACCCUCAUGGCAGAGUAAGAAGGAAUGAGAGCUCCUUCCCUAGGCCCUGUACCUCCUCCAAGCCCACAGCCUGGCUCUGCACAUAGGAAAAUGUGUGAAUGCUGUAACUCUGUCUCCUCAGCUUCCAAAGCAGAAGAAUUGAAUCAACUGAGUUUCCUAGGUGUCAGACAAUCCUGGAACCAAGAACCUCUGAGAACAUUUCAUCCUCUGGUUUCCCUGAAACUUUCAGUUACACCCUGAAGUUACUGGAAUCCACGUUCUGUUCAAGUGACCAUAUAUAAACUUGUCAUGGAGAUCAGCUGAGACCUCAUGGCAGAAAUCUCGUUUGAAACAACUGGAAAUUACUUUACCUUGGUUCAAGCCACAGCACAACAGAUACUUUCUCCUCCUUCUCCAGCCCUGCUGAGCUCCUGAAGAUGCCUGGAAGAAUUUGCUGCAUUUCUGGCCCCAGAGGCUGUUAUGGAGAACACCACUUGGCUACACAAGAGGUUGCUGAAAUCCAACGUUUGUUUUCAGAUAUACAUUCAUGCUUUUUAAGGAAAUGAUUGUAAGGAGCUGGAGAACCUUUGAAAUGAUGUUGCUCAAAGAUUUCCCAGCAUUGGCACAAACUAAGCAAAUAAGGAAAAUACUGCUAUAAUCACUGCAGAGAUGGAGAGUCCUGCUUAACUCCCAUUUUUGUAUUCAAAACUGGAAAAAUUACAAGUGCUUGAAGUUUAUCCUGGCCGAAAACAGCUGCAGCCAUGGCUGAACAUGACCCACAACAUGAUCUUUGCUCCACCACCUCUCUAAGACAAAACCAAGGAAGCCCUGUGGAAUGAAGGAUGUUUGCAAACACCACUGGCACAUAUUGUUUGUAAUAAAAAGUAAAAUUGAUCUUCAGUCCUGAAGAAAGACAUUUCAGCUGCCUUCUCAAACGUCUGAUGCAGAACUUCAGCAAAGAGUUUACAGCUCCUAAGGACAAGAGGGGGUUUUUUGGGAACAAUUUCUUUCUGACUAUCUGAAACAUGAGAAAGACAAAGCAAAAACACACUCUAGCAACAGAGAAAACAGACAACCAGAUAAACAGAUGAUGCUAUCACAGUGUUCCAAAUGUGGCAGACAUUUCACAAGGCAUUCAGAAGUGUACUAAAAAUGAUCUAAUAGUAUAAAAAGGCAAAGCUACAUGAACAGGAAAGUGGAACACCACACUGCAUGAACUGAUCAAGAGGGUACCAUGGCAUUUUAUUAGAAAUGCGCUGAAUACUCGUAUCUUUUUUAUUCCUUUUUAAAUUAAAUGCUCUAGGUAAAAUCCUGAUUGAUUAUCACUUUUAUUGAUGCUUUGUGGGGGACCAGAGUUUUGCUGUAUAAAGUCACAUCCGUAAUUUCAACCAGAUUUGCAGACUCAGUUCCAAUGUCCUU
Melospiza melodia melodia is the source of this 7659-nucleotide long non-coding RNA. RefSeq lists it as uncharacterized. The transcript has 33 exons. The record is from RefSeq and is a predicted model, not a curated record. NCBI's taxonomy places the organism in Eukaryota, Metazoa, Chordata, Aves, Passeriformes, Passerellidae.